GACGAACGCUGGCGGCGUGCUUAACACAUGCAAGUCGAACGAGAGCGUAGAGACAGCUUGCUUUUUCUACAAUCUAGUGGCAAACGGGUGAGUAACGCGUAAACAACCUGCCCUACGGAUGGGGACAACAGCUGGAAACGGCUGCUAAUACCGAAUACGUUCCGAAAGUCGCAUGACUAUCGGAAGAAAGGAUGGCCUCUAUUUAUAAGCUAUCGCCGGAGGAGGGGUUUGCGUCUGAUUAGCUAGUUGGAGGGGUAACGGCCCACCAAGGCGACGAUCAGUAGCCGGUCUGAGAGGAUGAACGGCCACAUUGGAACUGAGACACGGUCCAGACUCCUACGGGAGGCAGCAGGGGGGAAUCUUCCGCAAUGGGCGAAAGCCUGACGGAGCAACGCCGCGUGAGUGAAGACGGCCUUCGGGUUGUAAAGCUCGGUUAUACGGGACGAAUAAUCUUGUGGUUAAUACCCAUGAGAAGUGACGGUACCGUAAGAGAAAGCCACGGCUAACUACGUG
This 513-nucleotide ribosomal RNA is filed under the name uncultured bacterium. Its description in RNAcentral is "partial 16S ribosomal RNA". It matches the Rfam family "Bacterial small subunit ribosomal RNA", at positions 28 to 507 of the family's 1533-position model. The record is from RNAcentral.